RNAcentral lists this transfer RNA (63 nucleotides) under Platevindex sp. CL-2014. RNAcentral describes it as "tRNA-Leu". The record is from RNAcentral. Lineage: Eukaryota; Metazoa; Mollusca; Gastropoda; Systellommatophora; Onchidiidae.
UUUUAUUUUAACUUGGCAGAUAAAUGCCGUUGACUUAGGAUCAGCUUAUAACCAAUGGUUAGU